GAAAAUUUACAAUCCUCCACAAGUUUCCAAGUCAGAUUCCAAUUUCUCCACCCUCCAAGAUCCAACUUGGAGUUGAGAGUUGUUGUUGAUCAAUUCCUAUUGUGAAGAUAUGUUGGGCAUCUUCUUACUGAUGAACCAUAGACGGCCUUCCUCAAGGAUUAUUUUGCUGGUCUAGCUUUUCCUUAUUUGCUUGGGCAUCCACACUAGGUUUCCUUGAAGGCACAUAUGUAAUGGGAUGAUAAUAUGUGGAUACGAGAUAAAUAAGAUCAAAAUAAGGAAAGAAGUGAAAUUUGAAGACCUGGAGCAGAACAUAGCAUCAGUUACCAUGAUCGCGGUUUGAGGACUGUAAUCGUGGGCAAUCAAGAAGGCCAACAUACCAAGAUCACGUGGUUUUGACUGCAGUUGCGGUAGCCGCAAACUUGGACAACUCUCAUGAUCGUGACCUAGCGGAAAAUGCAAUCCAAUGGAAGAAACAUAAAUACAGGCAUGAUAGUGCCCAAGCGCACACGCAAUUGUACAUGGUCUACAAGUAAUAUAGUGGCCUUAAAGAAAGCCGAAUAUAGAUACCACAGGGACUUGUUCUAACAACUAUCAACUUUUAGUUCUCUUAUUAAGAUUAACUUGAUGCAAAGUAACCACAAAGAGUUUGUAAUUGUUAAACUAUAAAUAAAGUGAUCAAUGCAUAAAAUAAAAGACCUGAGACAAUCAAUAGAGUAAAGCCCAGGGUUAAAGUA
Molecule: long non-coding RNA, 734 nt
Organism: Capsicum annuum
Lineage: Eukaryota; Viridiplantae; Streptophyta; Magnoliopsida; Solanales; Solanaceae
Exons: 3
Source: RefSeq, a predicted model, not a curated record